CAAAAACAUUGCUUUUUGAAAAUAAAAUAAAUAAAAAGUAACUCCUGCCCGGUGAAAAUUUAAACGGCCGCGGUACCCUAACCGUGCAAAGGUAGCAUAAUCACUUGCCAAUUAAUUGUUGGCUAGAAUGAAUGGAUAAACGAAAUAAUAACUGUCUCUGUUUGAUAUAUUAAAAACUAUUCUUCAGAUGAAGAAAUCUGAAUUAAGUUGAAAGACAAGAAGACCCUAUAGAGCUUAAUCUAAAAAUUGAACUACUAUUUUAUGAUUUGGUUGGGGCGACCAGGGAAAUACUAAUAAUCACCCCAUAAAACUUAAGAUAUAUUUAUCUAAAUUAAAGACCCUAAUAAUAAGAACACAAGAAUAAGCUACCUUAGGGAUAACAGGCUAAUCUCACUAAAGAGUUCUUAUUAACAGUGAGGGUUGGCACCUCGAUGUUGGCUUAGGGUAUCUAUAAAAUGCAGAAGUUUUAUAAAGAUGGUUUGUUCAACCAAUAAAACCCUACGUGAUCUGA
This 511-nucleotide ribosomal RNA is filed under the name Kynotus sp. w. Its description in RNAcentral is "partial 16S ribosomal RNA". It matches the Rfam family "Bacterial large subunit ribosomal RNA", at positions 1808 to 2608 of the family's 2925-position model. The record is from RNAcentral. Lineage: Eukaryota; Metazoa; Annelida; Clitellata; Crassiclitellata; Kynotidae.